CAGGGAGUUGAACAUUCACUCGCUAAAGCCUAGGGAAAACAACCAGAAUGGAGGUUGUCCAGGCUUUCAGAGUGGCACAGCAAGAAAAGUGCACUAUUGUAACAGAAUCGGGAGCAGAAAUCACAGAUGGCACAGUAUGAAAAUAACCCAACUUUUAUUUUCUCUCCUUUUUCCCCCAGCAGCAUAAAAAAGAACUGCCUGGACUAGGAAGUUUUUGGAAAGCUAGAUGUUACAAGAGAUGCAGCACUGACAGACGCACUGCUCUUCUGGUGCAGAAGACAGAGACCCUGGGAGGGCUUUUGGGGCCCUUCACUCCUCCAUCAGCGAGUCGUCUGCCUUAUCACAAGGUGUCGAAUAACAGAUUAGAAUUUGAAGCCACGUUUCAGAAUCAAGUGCAAGCUCAAUGAUGAGGUAAGAGAUGAAAAGGCAAUUGAUUUGUAUUUGCAAACUAUGUCUUUACCUUGAUCAAAAUGAGGUGGUCUA
Molecule: long non-coding RNA, 483 nt
Filed under: Struthio camelus australis
Lineage: Eukaryota; Metazoa; Chordata; Aves; Struthioniformes; Struthionidae
Description: lncRNA (ENSSCUG00000014698.1)
Source: RNAcentral